GCCCGGUUCGUCUAAUAGGUUAGGAUGUCACCCUUUCAAGGUGAGGACGUGGGGUUCAAAUCCCCCAUCGGGUG
This 74-nucleotide transfer RNA is filed under the name Bacilli bacterium. RNAcentral's name for it is "tRNA-Glu". It matches the Rfam family "tRNA". From Rfam's summary of the family: Transfer RNA (tRNA) molecules are approximately 80 nucleotides in length. Their secondary structure includes four short double-helical elements and three loops (D, anti-codon, and T loops). The record is from RNAcentral. Lineage: Bacteria; Bacillati; Bacillota; Bacilli.